RNAcentral lists this ribosomal RNA (279 nucleotides) under uncultured bacterium. RNAcentral describes it as "partial 16S ribosomal RNA". It matches the Rfam family "Bacterial small subunit ribosomal RNA", at positions 506 to 784 of the family's 1533-position model. The record is from RNAcentral.
UGCCAGCCGCCGCGGUAAUACGUAGGUGGCAAGCGUUGUCCGGAUUUACUGGGCGUAAAGAGUGUGUAGGCGGAUAAUUAAGUCAGGUGUGAAAUCCCGGGGCUCAACCUCGGAGGUGCAUUUGAUACUGGUUAUCUAGAGUGCGGGAGAGGAGAGUGGAAUUCCUAGUGUAGCGGUGAAAUGCGUAGAGAUUAGGAAGAACACCAGUGGCGAAGGCGGCUUUCUGGACCGAUACUGACGCUGAGACGCGAAAGCGUGGGGAGCAAACAGGAUUAGAUA